UACCCGCUGGAAUUAAGCAUAUUAAUAAGCGGAGGAAAAGAAACUAACAAGGAUUCCCUCAGUAAGGGCGACUGAAGCGGGAAGAGCUCAUGAUGUGAAUCGGUGUUUCGGCACUGAAUUGUGGUCUAUAGAUUCUUCCAUUAAUGGCCGGGUUAAGUCUCUUGGAAUAGAGCGGCAUAGAGGGUGAGACCCCCGUGAACCUGGACUUUAGAGGGAGUAUCAACGAGUCGAGUUGUUUGGGAUUGCAGCUCAAAGUGGGAGGUAAAUUCCUUCUAAAGCUAAAUAUGGGCGAGACACCGAUAGUGUACAAGUACCGUGAGGGAAAGAUGCAAAGAACUUUGAAAAGAGAGUUAAAGAGUACCUGAAAUUGCUGAAAGGGAAGCGAAGGAAAUCAGUGAAGGUCUAGUUGCAUUUUCUUGUUUGCUUGCAGGCGAGACGCUGUGACGGGCCGCGCAACGCUUGAUUGGGUUGGAUUAAUUACCCCAGUGGGAGUUGACCUCUGAGGGAACAAUUUGACGUGAUUGAGUUGGUGCAAAAUGGUUUUCUUCUCCCCGUCUUGAAACACGGGAACCAAGGA
Molecule: ribosomal RNA, 577 nt
Filed under: Gomphonema parvulum
Lineage: Eukaryota; Bacillariophyta; Bacillariophyceae; Cymbellales; Gomphonemataceae
Description: eukaryotic LSU rRNA
Rfam family: Eukaryotic large subunit ribosomal RNA
Source: RNAcentral